Symphalangus syndactylus (siamang) is the source of this 416-nucleotide long non-coding RNA. RefSeq lists it as uncharacterized. The record is from RefSeq and is a predicted model, not a curated record. NCBI's taxonomy places the organism in Eukaryota, Metazoa, Chordata, Mammalia, Primates, Hylobatidae.
AACGGCCAGGCGGCGGCCCAGGCCUGCAGCGGUCGUUGGUCGUCGGCGUGAGCGUGUCAGGAAAAUAACACGGAAAGCAGCACAGGUGAAUGAGAAUCAAGCAGAUUUUCCUGGAACACAUCCACAAGCUGAAGGCAGAGAAGGCCUGCAAGAAGCCCCUGGCUAACCAGAUAGGCCCCCAAGGUUAAGACCAAGGAAGUACAGGAGUGCCCCGAGGAGCCACUUCAGGCCAAGAAGGAGGUAACCAAGACUCUGUCCAAGCAGGAAGAGAUGAAGACAUGGAGGCCCCCCUCUCUUAUGUCUGUCAUUGCAAUAGGCCUGGAGGCCUUGAGAAGGAUUGCACCAUUCCCCACUCGUGGAGAGCCAGGGUGGUCCAUUUGCCAUCACUGCAUCCCAGCUUCUCAGCAUUGUACCAG